AUUGAACGCUGGCGGCAGGCCUAACACAUGCAAGUCGAGCGAGAGGCGGACGGGUGAGUAAUGUCUGGGAAACUGCCUGAUGGAGGGGGUUAACUACUGGAAACGGUAGCUAAUACCGCAUACCAUCAGAUGUGCCCAGAUGGGAUUAGCUAGUAGGUGGGGUAAAGGCUCACCUAGGCGACGAUCCCUAGCUGGUCUGAGAGGAUGACCAGCCACACUGGAACUGAGACACGGUCCAGACUCCUACGGGAGGCAGCAGUGGGGAAUAUUGCACAAUGGGCGCAAGCCGGAUGCAGCCAUGCCGCGUGUGUGAAGAAGGCCUUCGGGUUGUAAAGCACUUUCAGUGGGGAGGCGUUACCCGCAGAAGAAGCACCGGCUAACUCCGUGCCAGCAGCCGCGGUAAUAC
RNAcentral lists this ribosomal RNA (406 nucleotides) under uncultured bacterium. RNAcentral's name for it is "partial 16S ribosomal RNA". It matches the Rfam family "Bacterial small subunit ribosomal RNA", at positions 30 to 526 of the family's 1533-position model. The record is from RNAcentral.